Chlorocebus sabaeus (green monkey) is the source of this 896-nucleotide long non-coding RNA. RefSeq lists it as uncharacterized. The record is from RefSeq and is a predicted model, not a curated record. NCBI's taxonomy places the organism in Eukaryota, Metazoa, Chordata, Mammalia, Primates, Cercopithecidae.
GACGCGCACGCGCAGUAGCCGCGUCCGCGCUCAAGCGCUCGGUGUGAGGCUGUGAGCCCAGCGCUGAGAAAAGGGAGCCUGGAGGACCAGUGUGUGGCCAGAGCCAGCUGGAGAGGGGCCCGGAAUGUGUACUGGGAAGUGGCUGACUAAAGACCUAUGGAUUCCAUGGAAUGGAGAGGCCAGCUCAGAGCAUUCUCAUACUCUUAAAAGGAAGAAACUGGAAGCCACCUUCUAAGUGGACCCUGAAUGAUGGCUGCCUCCUGGUAUGUAUACUCUUGUGUAGCCUCCACCUACUUAGACUCACAGCUGAUUUUGUGACCAAGAGUAUAAUGGUGUAUGACUUCAGAGGCUUGGUUCAGAGUCAGAAGUGGCCAUUUCAUCAUCAUCUAAAUUUCUCUCUGGCAGAUUAAUAAAUGUGAGAAAGUAAAAAUGGUAUAGAAGAAAGCCUGAGAGAUGGCUGGCUUUGUACCUGUUUGGUCCUUUUCCUUCCUUUCCUCCAUAAGCAAAUACUGACGCAUGUACAUAUAGACACACCCACACAGUGGGAUGUUAAAGGGAAACUAGAGCCACUCGCCCCUUCCCAAGAUCAGAGAACCUAGGAAAGAUGAUGACUUUUUGCAUCUGCCCUCUGCUCUUGAACUCACAACACUGUCCUGAACCACAAAUAAGGUCAAGUAGGAUAAAUCUACAACUGUCUCCUCGAUUCUCUGCUCACAAGCGUGAAAUUCAACCAUCUUUGCAGAAGUUGUCUCUUAACCAACCUCUGAGCUUUGCUUCUAUUAUUACAUCAUUUUAUUUGACCCGCAGGACAAAACUGCAAGCCCAGCAUUACAUUCUUCCUUUUAUGGACAAAAUGAAGAAACUAAUAAAUGGCUGAAAUGGCAUUUGAAUCCACA